This 228-nucleotide ribosomal RNA is filed under the name uncultured bacterium. RNAcentral describes it as "partial 16S ribosomal RNA". It matches the Rfam family "Bacterial small subunit ribosomal RNA", at positions 103 to 334 of the family's 1533-position model. The record is from RNAcentral.
CGGGUGAGUAAUGCUUGGGAAUCUAGCUUAUGGAGGGGGAUAACUACGGGAAACUGUAGCUAAUACCGCGUAGAGUCGAGAGAUGAAAGUGUGGGACCUUCGGGCCACAUGCCAUAGGAUGAGCCCAAGUGGGAUUAGGUAGUUGGUGAGGUAAAGGCUCACCAAGCCGACGAUCUCUAGCUGGUCUGAGAGGAUGACCAGCCACACUGGGACUGAGACACGGCCCAA